ACUUUGAACAACCAUAGCAGCAUAGCUUAGCUUAUUGAAAACCUACCAAAAACUCAAAUUAGAGAAACAGGAAAAAUGUCAAUUUGCCCAGGAAAGCAAGCGUGGCCUGAACUCAUAGGAGAGGAUGGAAAAAAAGCAGCAGAAAUAAUAGAGAAGGAAAAUUCAAGUGUGGAAGCUAUUGUACUACCAAAAGAUUCUGAUAUUCCAUUUGAUCUGAGAUGUGAUCGUGUUUUUGUUUUUGUUGAUUCUAAAAACAUAGUUGUUGAAGCUCCAUCUGUUGGUUAAACUCUUCUUGCAAUUUGUGCAACUGAAUUAGGUAGAUGUGCACUUUAAGAGAGCUAGUAUUAGUACUAAAUAAAUGUGCACAUUGUUGGUAAUGUAGUAGCUAAUCUGUUACAACUGCCUAUGAACUAGUAAACUAGUGAUAUUAAUGAUAA
Beta vulgaris subsp. vulgaris (sugar beet) is the source of this 437-nucleotide long non-coding RNA. RefSeq lists it as uncharacterized. The transcript is spliced from 2 exons. Lineage: Eukaryota; Viridiplantae; Streptophyta; Magnoliopsida; Caryophyllales; Amaranthaceae. The record is from RefSeq and is a predicted model, not a curated record.